CCCUCCCGGCCUCUGCCUGUCCCGGGGGAGGCCGGAUCCUGGGCUGUGUCCCGGCGCCCUGUGCUCCGGAGCCUGCGCUGUUGGAUUCGAGCUCCCGGGCCGCGCAGCCCCCUCCGCGGAGCCGCCGCCCGAGCC
Molecule: microRNA precursor, 135 nt
Filed under: Canis lupus familiaris (dog)
Lineage: Eukaryota; Metazoa; Chordata; Mammalia; Carnivora; Canidae
Description: miRNA (ENSCAFG00000057831.1)
Rfam family: mir-8799 microRNA precursor family (bases 23-113)
Source: RNAcentral